GUCCUAGCCCUAAACGAUGAAUGCUUGGUGUCUGGAGUGUUAAUUCUCUGGGUGCCGCCGCUAACGCUUUUAGCAUUCCGCCUGGGGAGUACGCACGCAAGUGUGAAACUCAAAGGAAUUGACGGGGACCCGCACAAGCGGUGGAGCAUGUGGUUUAAUUCGACGCAACGCGAAGAACCUUACCUGAACUAGAAUGCGAGGAAAUAUUAUGUAAUGUAAUAGGCUGGGCAACCAGAUCCGAAGCAAGGUGCUGCAUGGCUGUCGU
This 265-nucleotide ribosomal RNA is filed under the name uncultured bacterium. Its description in RNAcentral is "partial 16S ribosomal RNA". It matches the Rfam family "Bacterial small subunit ribosomal RNA", at positions 793 to 1055 of the family's 1533-position model. The record is from RNAcentral.